Molecule: ribosomal RNA, 1438 nt
Filed under: uncultured organism
Description: SSU rRNA
Rfam family: Bacterial small subunit ribosomal RNA
Source: RNAcentral
UACAGGCUUAACACAUGCAAGUCGAGGGGCAGCAUGGUCUUAUCUUGCUAAGGCCGAUGGCGACCGGCGCACGGGUGAGUAACACGUAUCCAACCUGCCGUCUACUCUUGGACAGCCUUCUGAAAGGAAGAUUAAUACAAGAUGGCAUCAUGAGUCCGCAUGUUCACAUGAUUAAAGGUAUUCCGGUAGACGAUGGGGAUGCGCUCCAUUAGAUAGUAGGCGGGGUAACGGCCCACCUAGUCUUCGAUGGAUAGGGGUUCUGAGAGGAAGGUCCCCCACAUUGGAACUGAGACACGGUCCAAACUCCUACGGGAGGCAGCAGUGAGGAAUAUUGGUCAAUGGGCGAGAGCCUGAACCAGCCAAGUAGCGUGAAGGAUGACUGCCCUAUGGGUUGUAAACUUCUUUUAUAAAGGAAUAAAGUCGGGUAUGGAUACCCGUUUGCAUGUACUUUAUGAAUAAGGAUCGGCUAACUCCGUGCCAGCAGCCGCGGUAAUACGGAGGAUCCGAGCGUUAUCCGGAUUUAUUGGGUUUAAAGGGAGCGUAGAUGGAUGUUUAAGUCAGUUGUGAAAGUUUGCGGCUCAACCGUAAAAUUGCAGUUGAUACUGGAUAUCUUGAGUGCAGUUGAGGCAGGCGGAAUUCGUGGUGUAGCGGUGAAAUGCUUAGAUAUCACGAAGAACUCCGAUUGCGAAGGCAGCCUGCUAAGCUGCAACUGACAUUGAGGCUCGAAAGUGUGGGUAUCAAACAGGAUUAGAUACCCUGGUAGUCCACACGGUAAACGAUGAAUACUCGCUGUUUGCGAUAUACUGCAAGCGGCCAAGCGAAAGCGUUAAGUAUUCCACCUGGGGAGUACGCCGGCAACGGUGAAACUCAAAGGAAUUGACGGGGGCCCGCACAAGCGGAGGAACAUGUGGUUUAAUUCGAUGAUACGCGAGGAACCUUACCCGGGCUUAAAUUGCAGAUGAAUUACGGUGAAAGCCGUAAGCCGCAAGGCAUCUGUGAAGGUGCUGCAUGGUUGUCGUCAGCUCGUGCCGUGAGGUGUCGGCUUAAGUGCCAUAACGAGCGCAACCCUUGUUGUCAGUUACUAACAGGUUCCGCUGAGGACUCUGACAAGACUGCCAUCGUAAGAUGUGAGGAAGGUGGGGAUGACGUCAAAUCAGCACGGCCCUUACGUCCGGGGCUACACACGUGUUACAAUGGGGGGUACAGAGGGCCGCUACCACGCGAGUGGAUGCCAAUCCCCAAAACCUCUCUCAGUUCGGACUGGAGUCUGCAACCCGACUCCACGAAGCUGGAUUCGCUAGUAAUCGCGCAUCAGCCACGGCGCGGUGAAUACGUUCCCGGGCCUUGUACACACCGCCCGUCAAGCCAUGGGAGCCGGGGGUACCUGAAGUGCGUAACCGCGAGGAGCGCCCUAGGGUAAAACUGGUGACUGGGGCUA